GGUGCGGUGUGUGAGAUAAUAAAUACUAUAACAUUGUCUCCAAGUGACAAGCAGAGAAGGAGCUGGAGAGAUCUCUUUGAUGUAAGAUGUCAUAAACCAAAUGGCCAAUGUUAUCUUGGGGGCGAAGUCAAGAGAG
Molecule: long non-coding RNA, 136 nt
Organism: Amblyraja radiata (thorny skate)
Lineage: Eukaryota; Metazoa; Chordata; Chondrichthyes; Rajiformes; Rajidae
Exons: 3
Source: RefSeq, a predicted model, not a curated record